RNAcentral lists this non-coding RNA (27 nucleotides) under Cricetulus griseus (Chinese hamster). The record is from RNAcentral. Lineage: Eukaryota; Metazoa; Chordata; Mammalia; Rodentia; Cricetidae.
ACAGUUGGAAGGACUCAGCACUCAGGA